UACGUAGGGGGCAAGCGUUGUCCGGAUUUAUUGGGCGUAAAGAGCGUGUAGGCGGCCAUACAGGUCCGUUGUGAAAACUGGAGGCUUAACCUCCAGACGUCGAUGGAAACCGUAUGGCUAGAGUCCGGAAGAGGAGAGUGGAAUUCCUGGUGUAGCGGUGAAAUGCGCAGAUAUCAGGAGGAACACCGGUGGCGAAGGCGGGUCUCUGGGCAGUAACUGACGCUGAGGAGCGAAAGCGUGGGGAGCGAACAGG
Molecule: ribosomal RNA, 253 nt
Filed under: uncultured bacterium
Lineage: Bacteria
Description: partial 16S ribosomal RNA
Rfam family: Bacterial small subunit ribosomal RNA
Source: RNAcentral